CCUACGGGAGGCAGCAGUGGGGAAUAUUGGACAAUGGGCGAAAGCCUGAUCCAGCAAUGCCGCGUGAGUGAUGAAGGCCUUAGGGUUGUAAAGCUCUUUUACCAGGGAUGAUAAUGACAGUACCUGGAGAAUAAGCUCCGGCUAACUCCGUGCCAGCAGCCGCGGUAAUACGGAGGGAGCUAGCGUUGUUCGGAAUUACUGGGCGUAAAGCGUACGUAGGCGGUUAUUCAAGUCAGAGGUGAAAGCCUGGAGCUCAACUCCAGAACUGCCUUUGAAACUAGAUAGCUAGAAUCUUGGAGAGGUGAGUGGAAUUCCGAGUGUAGAGGUGAAAUUCGUAGAUAUUCGGAAGAACACCAGUGGCGAAGGCGACUCACUGGACAAGUAUUGACGCUGAGGUACGAAAGCGUGGGGAGCAAACAGGAUUAGAUACCCUGGUAGUCCACGCCGUAAACGAUGAUAACUAGCUGUUCGGGCUCUACGAGCUUGAGUGGCGCNGCUACGCAUAAGUUAUCCGCCGUCGGGAGGUACGGUCGCGAGAAUUAAACUUAAAUUAGUAAGUUAGUACGGCGUGAGACGUGCCGACGGACGACGACGAGGGAGGUUAGG
Molecule: ribosomal RNA, 606 nt
Filed under: uncultured bacterium
Lineage: Bacteria
Description: bacterial SSU rRNA
Rfam family: Bacterial small subunit ribosomal RNA
Source: RNAcentral